ACGCAUCAUUAUGGCCACUGCUGUUGCCAUCCAUCCUUCAUCCAGACAAGUCUCCAAGCCACAGUAGCUGCAAUACUCCAAAGAGAAGUGCAACAAGAGAGAGAAGAGAAUAGAAGAGAGAGAAGAGAAGAGGAGGAGAGAGGAGAAUCGCUGCCACUGGAAAGCAGCAGCUGAGCGCCUGAGCCUGCAGCUGCAGUAGGAGCAGAAGAGAAGCAAGAAACGAGAGAGAGAGAGGGAGGGAGAAAGCGUUGGGACUUUUCAUUGGAUCCUUCGCUUUUGGGAGGAGGAAGAAGAAGCCAGCAAGGUCUCGUCUUUCCUCUCUUCCUUCGCGCCGGCGAGGGGUUGGAGGAGGAGGAGGAGAUGUUUCCGCCUGGGCUGAUCCACCACAGGCCGGACGGCGGCGACGGGGGGAGGGCGGCGGCGGGGGGCGNNN
This 433-nucleotide long non-coding RNA is filed under the name Oryza brachyantha (malo sina). RNAcentral's name for it is "long non-coding RNA (OBRA_LNC002427)". The record is from RNAcentral. Lineage: Eukaryota; Viridiplantae; Streptophyta; Magnoliopsida; Poales; Poaceae.